GGGGCGUCAGCGAGCGCCAACUUUCAGCGUCUUUUCUGCGGCUUCCUUCUAUCCCGCUCCGAGGCUGCAGGGCCCUGGCAGAGUGGCGUCAGCUGGAAGGCUGGCCAGAGCCGGAUUUUGUUGCACUCCGGGCAGGAAGAUGGCCGAGGCGGCGGCUGACGGAGAUAGUAGUGCCUUGCUGAAGUCACGGCGGCCGGCGGCGCCCUCCUGGAGGCUGACUGGACGGAGGCAGGGAACUUCCCGGUGAGCCAGCCGGGCCUAGCAGGAGCCUUCGGCGGCUGCCCAAAGCCGUGGGGACGGCUGGCUGACUCAGCCGCUCUCUGGACGGAGUUGCUGCGUCCCCACAAGCCUGCCCGUGCAGCUGAAGUGGCAGGUUAGAGUUGUGGUACUCAAACUUAAGUCCAAGCAAACAGGAGGAGCACCGGCGCGGGUUCAGUCUUUCCAAACCCAGUUCAGCCGUAAUCUCUGGAGUCAGAUUUCGCCGCCCAAUUCAUGGAUUUGUGCUUUUGACUCCGCUCUGAUGUUUUUGAAUGAAUACAAAGUUGCCUGGGAUACUUAAGUAUAGUUGCAGAGCGUCUUUUCGGCCCUGAAAAGAGGGAAAGUUUCCAUUGAAAAAGUUCUUUAUCACAUAUUGGCAAACCCAAAGUAUGCCAAUUUGCAACGUGUUGACAUUUUCAUUGAAAUAUCUACAAUAAAGGCAAAGAUUCCUUGUCUCAGUGA
RNAcentral lists this long non-coding RNA (720 nucleotides) under Pan troglodytes (chimpanzee). RNAcentral describes it as "lincRNA". Lineage: Eukaryota; Metazoa; Chordata; Mammalia; Primates; Hominidae. The record is from RNAcentral.